RNAcentral lists this long non-coding RNA (1138 nucleotides) under Fukomys damarensis (Damara mole-rat). RNAcentral describes it as "lncRNA (ENSFDAG00000031197.1)". Lineage: Eukaryota; Metazoa; Chordata; Mammalia; Rodentia; Bathyergidae. The record is from RNAcentral.
GCGGGGCGGUUCCUUAGGGGGCGGGCCCUGAUUGAGGGGCGGGGCCAGGGUGGGGGGGCCAGGAGCUUGGCGGAUCCUGGCCCAGGGCAGCUAGACCCACAGGAGGCCGUGUGGGUAGGAAGGAUGGCGCCCCCGGUCCGGUCCUGCUGGUGUCGCCACCCUGUCAUCCUGAGACGCCAGUGGAAUCCGUUGCCUUGCUGGCUGGGCAUGGAGAGCGCGGGGGAGUCCAGACACUGUGGUGUCAUUAGGGGGUCCCAACACUAACCAUAACCAACACGCCUGCUGUAAUCUCACCCUGGGAGACUGAGGCAGGAAGAUUUCAAAUUCGAGCCCAGCCUAAACAACUCUGCGACUUGGUGAGACCCUGUCUCAAAAUAAAAACACUGGGCGUGGUGGCACACGCCUGCAUUUGGAAGGCCGAGGCAGGAGGGUUGCUGAGAGUUCGAGGCCAGCCAGGAGCCAUAUUGGGGGUUAAAGACCACCCUUAACUACAUAGUGAAACUCUGCCUCAAAAACAAAAACCAAAAACAUUGAGAAGCAGGACAGAUGUAACUCAGUGCAAAGGGCCUGGGUUCAAUCCCCAACACCUGGAAGAAAAGAAAAAAAAGCCCAAUUUCCCUAAGCAAGUUACCAUUCUCCCUACUACGUCCUCUCUUCCAGGGCCGCGCCUCCACCAAGGUCUUCCAGCUGGGACAAAGAGCUUCUGCCUAACCCGUGUGCACCUUUCCAGAGCUGUUGAGAAGGAACCUAAAAACCACCUCCGGAAGCAGACUGCAGCGCCUCACAACCUGGGAGCACUCUUCGCACCCUUUGAACUAUUCUGGACCUUGCCUGCUCUGAAUUUAGAGAGAGCACAUUCUCCCAAUUACCCACAAUUGUUAUUAUUUUGAUUGUUGCAAAAUACACAGAAUUUACCAUUUUCAUCGUUUCCGCUAUGUCGUGUUGACUAUGUACACUGUGCAGCCUCGGCCACUGAGGAUCUCCAGGCUGUUCUCCCCCUGCUGCAGCCACCCCUAUGGGCCCACUAAACAUCCCACGGGAGUGGAACUGUACAGCGGAUGUUUUUGUGACCAUUUCACUCAGCAUCACAUCCUCCAGGCUUCUCCAUACCAGAAUUUCCUUUUCAUGGCUCAGUAAU